This 525-nucleotide long non-coding RNA is filed under the name Ananas comosus (pineapple). Its description in RNAcentral is "long non-coding RNA (ACOM_LNC006742)". Lineage: Eukaryota; Viridiplantae; Streptophyta; Magnoliopsida; Poales; Bromeliaceae. The record is from RNAcentral.
AAAUAAGCUUUAUGUGUAUAGAUGUAUUUUUAUGGGCUUGUUUAAAUGCAAUUUACUUUUAUCAUAUUGGGAUAUUUUUGUUGUUUCGUAAUAAGCAACAUUUUUAUUUACAAGGAGAUGUUCAGAUAUCUUUCUUCGGAGUAUCGAAAAUUAUAAAAAUAUUUUAAAAAUGCUGCAAACUAGUUGAGUUUGAUAAUUGUGAUAAUAUUAGAAUUCACCAUAUAAAUAUCAUAUCAUAUCAUAUAAAUUUUACUGUAUGAUAAAAUAACACAAUAUUCAAAUAAAUUAUAAUUUUCGAGUAAGACAUAAUUUGGUGCGAUGUUUUUAAAAAUAACUAAAAAAUUGAAAAGCAUUUUAAUUUUUUUUUAUUUUUUAUUCUAUAAAUUUGCGAUGACAACUACCAGUAAGAAAGCACGUGAUGUGAAUUAAAAAAAGUUUAAAAAUACUUUUAAAUAUUAUAAAAAUUUUAAAAUAAAAUUUAAGUAUUUUAAAAAAUAUAAUAAUAAUAAUAAUAUAUGAGAUGUU